AUUGAACGCUGGCGGCAGGCCUAACACAUGCAAGUCGAGCGAGCGGCGGACGGGUGAGUAAUGUAUGUGGAUCUUCCCGAUAGAGGGGGAUCACUACUGGGAACUGUUGCUAAUACCGCAUACUAUCGCAUGAACCCAUUGGGGAUUAGCGAGUUGGUGGGGUAAAGGCUAACCUAGGCGACGAUCUCUAGCUGGUCUGAGAGGAUGAUCAGCCACACUGGGACUGAGACACGGCCCAGACUCCUACGGGAGGAAGCAGUGGGGAAUAUUGGACAAUGGGCGAAAGCCUGAUGCAGCCAUGCCGCGUGUAUGAAGAAGGCCUUAGGGUUGUAAAGUACUUUCAGCUGGGAGGCGUUACCAGCAGAAGAAGCACCGGCUAACUCCGUGCCAGCAGCCGCGGUAAUUC
RNAcentral lists this ribosomal RNA (406 nucleotides) under uncultured bacterium. Its description in RNAcentral is "partial 16S ribosomal RNA". It matches the Rfam family "Bacterial small subunit ribosomal RNA", at positions 30 to 526 of the family's 1533-position model. The record is from RNAcentral.